GGGUUGUGAGGUUAAGCGACUAAGCGUACACGGUGGAUGCCCUGGCAGUCAGAGGCGAUGAAGGGCGUGCUAAUCUGCGAUAAGCGCCGGUAAGGUGAUAUGAACCGUUAUAACCGGCGAUACCCGAAUGGGGAAACCCAGUGUGACUCGUCACACUAUCAUUAACUGAAUCCAUAGGUUAAUGAGGCGAACCGGGGGAACUGAAACAUCUAAGUACCCCGAGGAAAAGAAAUCAACCGAGAUUCCCCCAGUAGCGGCGAGCGAACGGGGAGGAGCCCAGAGCCUGAAUCAGCAUGUGUGUUAGUGGAAGCGUCUGGAAAGGCGCGCGAUACAGGGUGACAGCCCCGUACACAAAAGCGCAUGUGCUGUGAGCUCGAUGAGUAGGGCGGGACACGUGGUAUCCUGUCUGAAUAUGGGGGGACCAUCCUCCAAGGCUAAAUACUCCUGACUGACCGAUAGUGAACCAGUACCGUGAGGGAAAGGCGAAAAGAACCCCAGCGAGGGGAGUGAAAAAGAACCUGAAACCGUGUACGUACAAGCAGUGGGAGCCCCACCACCAAAGCAUUCUCUGGUGUUGAAGGCCCUGCAAAGCAGCAUCGCGGUGGCGGAGCGUCGUUUGCGACGCCCAACACACAAAACAAGCGGUGAGUGCUUUGGGGUGGGGUGACUGCGUACCUUUUGUAUAAUGGGUCAGCGACUUAUAUUCUGUAGCAAGGUUAACCGAAUAGGGGAGCCGGAGGGAAACCGAGUCUUAACCGGGCGUUAAGUUGCAGGGUAUAGACCCGAAACCCGGUGAUCUAGCCAUGGGCAGGUUGAAGGUUGGGUAACACUAACUGGAGGACCGAACCGACUAAUGUUGAAAAAUUAGCGGAUGACCUGUGGCUGGGGGUGAAAGGCCAAUCAAACCGGGAGAUAGCUGGUUCUCCCCGAAAGCUAUUUAGGUAGCGCCUCGUGAAUUCAUCUCCGGGGGUAGAGCACUGUUUCGGCUAGGGGGCCAUCCCGGCUUACCAACCCGAUGCAAACUGCGAAUACCGGAGAAUGUUAUCACGGGAGACACACGGCGGGUGCUAACGUCCGUCGUGAAGAGGGAAACAACCCAGACCGCCAGCUAAGGUCCCAAAGUCAUGGUUAAGUGGGAAACGAUGUGGGAAGGCCCAGACAGCCAGGAUGUUGGCUUAGAAGCAGCCAUCAUUUAAAGAAAGCGUAAUAGCUCACUGGUCGAGUCGGCCUGCGCGGAAGAUGUAACGGGGCUAAACCAUGCACCGAAGCUGCGGCAGCGACACUCAGGUGUUGUUGGGUAGGGGAGCGUUCUGUAAGCCUGCGAAGGUGGCCUGUGAGGGUUGCUGGAGGUAUCAGAAGUGCGAAUGCUGACAUAAGUAACGAUAAAGCGGGUGAAAAGCCCGCUCGCCGGAAGACCAAGGGUUCCUGUCCAACGUUAAUCGGGGCAGGGUGAGUCGACCCCUAAGGCGAGGCCGAAAGGCGUAGUCGAUGGGAAACGGGUUAAUAUUCCCGUACUUGGUGUUACUGCGAAGGGGGGACGGAGAAGGCUAUGUUGGCCGGGCGACGGUUGUCCCGGUUUAAGCGUGUAGGUGUGUGUUCCAGGUAAAUCCGGUUCACUUUAACACUGAGGCGUGACGACGAGGCACUACGGUGCUGAAGCAACAAAUGCCCUGCUUCCAGGAAAAGCCUCUAAGCAUCAGGUAACAUCAAAUCGUACCCCAAACCGACACAGGUGGUCAGGUAGAGAAUACCAAGGCGCUUGAGAGAACUCGGGUGAAGGAACUAGGCAAAAUGGUGCCGUAACUUCGGGAGAAGGCACGCUGACACGUAGGUGAAGUGAUUUACUCAUGGAGCUGAAGUCAGUCGAAGAUACCAGCUGGCUGCAACUGUUUAUUAAAAACACAGCACUGUGCAAACACGAAAGUGGACGUAUACGGUGUGACGCCUGCCCGGUGCCGGAAGGUUAAUUGAUGGGGUCAGCGCAAGCGAAGCUCCUGAUCGAAGCCCCGGUAAACGGCGGCCGUAACUAUAACGGUCCUAAGGUAGCGAAAUUCCUUGUCGGGUAAGUUCCGACCUGCACGAAUGGCGUAAUGAUGGCCAGGCUGUCUCCACCCGAGACUCAGUGAAAUUGAACUCGCUGUGAAGAUGCAGUGUACCCGCGGCAAGACGGAAAGACCCCGUGAACCUUUACUAUAGCUUGACACUGAACAUUGAGCCUUGAUGUGUAGGAUAGGUGGGAGGCUUUGAAGUGUGGACGCCAGUCUGCAUGGAGCCGGCCUUGAAAUACCACCCUUUAAUGUUUGAUGUUCUAACGUGGACCCGUGAUCCGGGUUGCGGACAGUGUCUGGUGGGUAGUUUGACUGGGGCGGUCUCCUCCUAAAGAGUAACGGAGGAGCACGAAGGUUGGCUAAUCCUGGUCGGACAUCAGGAGGUUAGUGCAAUGGCAUAAGCCAGCUUGACUGCGAGCGUGACGGCGCGAGCAGGUGCGAAAGCAGGUCAUAGUGAUCCGGUGGUUCUGAAUGGAAGGGCCAUCGCUCAACGGAUAAAAGGUACUCCGGGGAUAACAGGCUGAUACCGCCCAAGAGUUCAUAUCGACGGCGGUGUUUGGCACCUCGAUGUCGGCUCAUCACAUCCUGGGGCUGAAGUAGGUCCCAAGGGUAUGGCUGUUCGCCAUUUAAAGUGGUACGCGAGCUGGGUUUAGAACGUCGUGAGACAGUUCGGUCCCUAUCUGCCGUGGGCGCUGGAGAACUGAGGGGGGCUGCUCCUAGUACGAGAGGACCGGAGUGGACGCAUCACUGGUGUUCGGGUUGUCAUGCCAAUGGCACUGCCCGGUAGCUAAAUGCGGAAGAGAUAAGUGCUGAAAGCAUCUAAGCACGAAACUUGCCCCGAGAUGAGUUCUCCCUGAGACUUUAGGUCUCCUGAAGGAACGUUGAAGACGACGACGUUGAUAGGCCGGGUGUGUAAGCGCAGCGAUGCGUUGAGCUAACCGGUACUAAUGAACCGUGAGGCUUAACCUUACAACGCCGAAG
RNAcentral lists this ribosomal RNA (3029 nucleotides) under Salmonella enterica subsp. enterica serovar Minnesota. RNAcentral's name for it is "bacterial LSU rRNA". It matches the Rfam family "Bacterial large subunit ribosomal RNA". The record is from RNAcentral. Lineage: Bacteria; Pseudomonadati; Pseudomonadota; Gammaproteobacteria; Enterobacterales; Enterobacteriaceae.